Molecule: ribosomal RNA, 233 nt
Filed under: Glomeromycotina sp.
Lineage: Eukaryota; Fungi; Glomeromycota
Description: partial small subunit ribosomal RNA
Rfam family: Eukaryotic small subunit ribosomal RNA (bases 40-233)
Source: RNAcentral
GGGUCAGUAGGUUGGUCGUGCCACCGGUACGUACUGGUCUCACUGAUUCCUCCUUCCUGAAGAACCGUAAUGCCAUUAAUUUGGUGUUGCGGGGAAACAGGACUGUUACUUUGAAAAAAUUAGAGUGUUUAAAGCAAGCUAACGCUUGAAUACAUUAGCAUGGAAUAAUGAAAUAGGACGAUCGAUCCUAUUUUGUUGGUUUCUAGGAUUGACGUAAUGAUUAAUAGGGAGGG